AGCUUGCUCUCGGGUGACGAGUGGCGGACGGGUGAGUAAUGUCUGGGAAACUGCCUGAUGGAGGGGGAUAACUACUGGAAACGGUAGCUAAUACCGCAUAACGUCGCAAGACCAAAGAGGGGGACCUUCGGGCCUCUUGCCAUCAGAUGUGCCCAGAUGGGAUUAGCUAGUAGGUGGGGUAACGGCUCACCUAGGCGACGAUCCCUAGCUGGUCUGAGAGGAUGACCAGCCACACUGGAACUGAGACACGGUCCAGACUCCUACGGGAGGCAGCAGUGGGGAAUAUUGCACAAUGGGCGCAAGCCUGAUGCAGCCAUGCCGCGUGUAUGAAGAAGGCCUUCGGGUUGUAAAGUACUUUCAGCGGGGAGGAAGGUGUUGUGGUUAAUAACCACAGCAAUUGACGUUACCCGCAAAAGAAGCACCGGCUAACUCCGUGCCAGCAGCCGCGGUAAUACGGAGGGUGCAAGCGUUAAUCGGAAUUACUGGGCGUAAAGCGCACGCAGGCGGUCUGUCAAGUCGGAUGUGAAAUCCCCGGGCUCAACCUGGGAACUGCAUUCGAAACUGGCAGGCUAGAGUCUUGUAGAGGGGGGUAGAAUUCCAGGUGUAGCGGUGAAAUGCGUAGAGAUCUGGAGGAAUACCGGUGGCGAAGGCGGCCCCCUGGACAAAGACUGACGCUCAGGUGC
Molecule: ribosomal RNA, 683 nt
Filed under: Enterobacter cloacae subsp. dissolvens
Lineage: Bacteria; Pseudomonadati; Pseudomonadota; Gammaproteobacteria; Enterobacterales; Enterobacteriaceae
Description: bacterial SSU rRNA
Rfam family: Bacterial small subunit ribosomal RNA
Source: RNAcentral